UGCAACCUACCCCUUACAGGCGGAUAGCUCGGGGAAACUCGAAUUAACCCGCCAUAAUAUAAUUGGAUGGCAUCAUUUGAUUAUUAAAUCUGCGGAGGUAAAGGAUGGGCAUGCGUCUGAUUAGUUAGUUGGUAGUGUAACGGACUACCAAGACGAUGAUCAGUAGGGGAACUGAGAGGUUGAUCC
RNAcentral lists this ribosomal RNA (186 nucleotides) under uncultured Bacteroidota bacterium. RNAcentral's name for it is "uncultured Bacteroidetes bacterium partial 16S ribosomal RNA". It matches the Rfam family "Bacterial small subunit ribosomal RNA", at positions 120 to 306 of the family's 1533-position model. The record is from RNAcentral. Lineage: Bacteria; Pseudomonadati; Bacteroidota.